ACUAAGAGUUUUCCACGAGUUCGAGAAGAGAUGAGACUAAAGGAUCCAGAAAAGAAGUACCCACACAGGGCUGUCUUAUACAUGCAUACACAUAAGCACAAAAGCGACAAGAAUAUGAAUGAACAAGUGGUUGAUUUGAAGAAGCGUAUAGCGGAGAAUCCAGCUUUAGUAGAUACUAGUAGAGGAAAGACAGCAUGGAAGGGAGAUGUUUUGAAUGCGGUACUUGGCGCAGACAAGCCUGGACAUAUACAUGGCCUGGGACGGGUUCCGAAUCCAAAUCAAGUCUUUGAUGUGUCAGCUUCACGCCACUUUCAGAAUAUACACCUUAGUUCAUUGGAGGAU
This 342-nucleotide ribosomal RNA is filed under the name Triticum aestivum (bread wheat). RNAcentral describes it as "partial small subunit ribosomal RNA". Lineage: Eukaryota; Viridiplantae; Streptophyta; Magnoliopsida; Poales; Poaceae. The record is from RNAcentral.